Long non-coding RNA from Engraulis encrasicolus (European anchovy), 768 nucleotides. RefSeq lists it as uncharacterized. The record is from RefSeq and is a predicted model, not a curated record. The transcript is spliced from 3 exons. NCBI's taxonomy places the organism in Eukaryota, Metazoa, Chordata, Actinopteri, Clupeiformes, Engraulidae.
GAAAUGAUCUUUCGUUCAUUUGCUUACUCCCUCGGCCCCGCAAAUCAAAGCCAACUUUGUUCAGAAGCUGGUCGCGUUAGCGGCAUAAAUGGGAACCCUACAUCAAAAUGGCACUUGAAACGUUGCCUGGUCCCAGCGUAUAAAUUACGCCGCGUAAUGAGCACAUGUCUGCAAACGCGAAAACAAGCGUGACGAGAAAGAGAGAGAAGUAACAGCGGGGUCGACAUUUUCAUAUGUGGCAGGAUAAAUAAAUAAGGGUGGCUAACACCCUGCGGUUAGCAGUUCCAACGCUAUUUUUUUUCUCCACGCGACCGUUUGAUGUGGACGCCCGGGGUGAAACCUUGUUUGGACAACUAAAGGAUGGAGCUGCCAGACUUCGAACCGCGCCAGAGACACACAGACCACCACCGGACAUAACAUGACAAGACAUUCUAGAACUGCUCCACGUCACGCCUCCCGCCAACAAGGAUAGGAUACUCAAAACGUCUUCUCUUCUUCAUGCCGGGAAAGAGAAGAGAGGAGGAUCAUGUCUCUACUAGGUUGCUGCCUCAGAACGCGCACAACACGUUUCCUUGUGAUUUCAUUAGCUGUUCAAAAACUUAAACAUGCUAUGUCUCAUGUCACACUUGUUUAUGUGAUAUGACGCAUAUAGUUUGUUUGAUUUGAUAAAGACGUGUUUAUGACAAACUACUUCAAAAAAUAAGAACAAGACUCAGAGAAUGUUGUUGUUUUCGAAUGCAAGAACAGAACACAAGUAUUCUAUGGUGC